AUUGAACGCUGGCGGCAGGCCUAACACAUGCAAGUCGAGCGGAUGAAGGGAGCUUGCUCCUGGAUUCAGCGGCGGACGGGUGAGUAAUGCCUAGGAAUCUGCCUGGUAGUGGGGGAUAACGUCCGGAAACGGGCGCUAAUACCGCAUACGUCCUGAGGGAGAAAGUGGGGGAUCUUCGGACCUCACGUUAUCAGAUGAGCCUAGGUCGGAUUAGCUAGUUGGUGGGGUAAAGGCCUACCAAGGCGACGAUCCGUAACUGGUCUGAGAGGAUGAUCAGUCACACUGGAACUGAGACACGGUCCAGACUCCUACGGGAGGCAGCAGUGGGGAAUAUUGGACAAUGGGCGAAAGCCUGAUCCAGCCAUGCCGCGUGUGUGAAGAAGGUCUUCGGAUUGUAAAGCACUUUAAGUGGGGAGGAAGGGCAGUAAGUUAAUACCUUGCUGUUUUGACGUUACCAACAGAAUAAGCACCGGCUAACUUCGUG
This 484-nucleotide ribosomal RNA is filed under the name uncultured bacterium. Its description in RNAcentral is "partial 16S ribosomal RNA". It matches the Rfam family "Bacterial small subunit ribosomal RNA", at positions 30 to 507 of the family's 1533-position model. The record is from RNAcentral.